GUAGUUGUGGCUCAGUGGUAGAGCACUUGCCUAGCAUGUGUGAAGCCCUGGGUUUGUUCGAUCCUCAGCACCACA
This 75-nucleotide transfer RNA is filed under the name Marmota monax (woodchuck). RNAcentral describes it as "tRNA.Ala". The record is from RNAcentral. Lineage: Eukaryota; Metazoa; Chordata; Mammalia; Rodentia; Sciuridae.